UCUGUCAGGAGUAAGCCGCAGUUUGAUCAUGAAGCCACAGAAACGUUGUCAUUUCUUAAAGCCCUUUACUUUUCUCUAAAGAAGGUGAAGGUCCAAUUUCCAUCAGUAGUCUGUAAAGCAGUUUAAUUGAUACUCCCUGGCUUUAAUUAUUUUUUAAAAUUCAAAUGCAAUCUGUCCAGUGGUUUCCUGUAACUGUGGAUUGACACUUCCGGUCACAGAUAUUUCUCCAAAGGCCUGUUUUUAAACUAUCCUUCUUGUUGGAAAUAAAAUUAUUUAACUACAGAUUCUCCAGAGCAUCCAGUCCAGAAAGCAAGAAAGACUGAAUAGUUACUGAAAAUUGCUAUGCAUCUUACCUCAGCCCAGCCCUCCUCUGGAAAUGUUCCUACCUCUCCUUCUUUUGACUUCCUAGUAUGAGCUCUGAAAUGGUUUGUUUCAUGUUGCCAUCUCUCCCUAAACUGCUAUUCAAAGAGAAUCUUGAGUGGUGGUGAGACACUGAAACAAGUUACCUGAGGAGGUUGUAGAUGCCCCAUCACUGGCAGUGUUCAAAGUCAGGUGUUACUGCUUUUACUUAGGCCAAUAUAAGGCAGAACAAAAUUCACUGAAGUCAGAAGAACUCUAGUGAGACAAUAAAGAAAUGGUGCGAAGAGAGAGUUAUUCUUUUAAGUGUUAGAUUUAUAAGUAAAACAUCCAUUUGAUUGUAUAUCAA
This is a long non-coding RNA of Vidua chalybeata, 706 nucleotides long. RefSeq lists it as uncharacterized. Lineage: Eukaryota; Metazoa; Chordata; Aves; Passeriformes; Viduidae. The transcript has 5 exons. The record is from RefSeq and is a predicted model, not a curated record.